Ovis aries (sheep) is the source of this 71-nucleotide transfer RNA. It matches the Rfam family "tRNA". Rfam says of the family: Transfer RNA (tRNA) molecules are approximately 80 nucleotides in length. Their secondary structure includes four short double-helical elements and three loops (D, anti-codon, and T loops). The record is from Rfam. Lineage: Eukaryota; Metazoa; Chordata; Mammalia; Artiodactyla; Bovidae.
UCCUGGAUGUCUCAGUGGUAUAGAAUCUGCCUGCAAUGCAGGAGACCUGGGUUCAAUCCCUGUGUUAGGAA